UUGAACGCUGGCGGCAUGCCUUACACAUGCAAGUCGAACGGCAGCACGGGAGCUUGCUCCUGGUGGCGAGUGGCGAACGGGUGAGUAAAGUAUCGGAACGUACCUUUCAGUGGGGGAUAACGUAGCGAAAGUUACGCUAAUACCGCAUAUUCUGUGAGCAGGAAAGCAGGGGAUCGCAAGACCUUGCGCUGAUUGAGCGGCCGAUAUCAGAUUAGCUAGUUGGUGGGGUAAAGGCCUACCAAGGCGACGAUCUGUAGCGGGUCUGAGAGGAUGAUCCGCCACACUGGAACUGAGACACGGUCCAGACUCCUACGGGAGGCAGCAGUGGGGAAUAUUGGACAAUGGGCGAAAGCCUGAUCCAGCCAUGCCGCGUGUGUGAAGAAGGCCUUCGGGUUGUAAAGCACUUUAAGCGGGGAGGAAGGGCUUCUGGCUAAUAGCCACGAUGAUGACGGUAUCCCCUUAGCAAGCACCGGCUAACUCUGUG
This 484-nucleotide ribosomal RNA is filed under the name uncultured bacterium. RNAcentral's name for it is "bacterial SSU rRNA". It matches the Rfam family "Bacterial small subunit ribosomal RNA", at positions 30 to 507 of the family's 1533-position model. The record is from RNAcentral.